Long non-coding RNA from Oncorhynchus tshawytscha (Chinook salmon), 200 nucleotides. RefSeq lists it as uncharacterized. Lineage: Eukaryota; Metazoa; Chordata; Actinopteri; Salmoniformes; Salmonidae. The record is from RefSeq and is a predicted model, not a curated record. The transcript has 2 exons.
UAGACAAACAGCCUCUAGGGACUGGGAAAGAGUGAGAACAGAAGAGACAAAGAGAGGAAAGAUUAGUAGACAAACAGCCUCUAGGGACUGGGAAAGAGUGAGAACAGAAGAGACAAAGAGAGGAAAGAUUAGUAGACAAACAGCCUCUAGGGACUGGGAAAGAGUGAGAACAGAAGAGACAAAGAGAGGAAAGAUUAGUA